RNAcentral lists this ribosomal RNA (405 nucleotides) under Triticum aestivum (bread wheat). RNAcentral describes it as "partial small subunit ribosomal RNA". Lineage: Eukaryota; Viridiplantae; Streptophyta; Magnoliopsida; Poales; Poaceae. The record is from RNAcentral.
AUGCCGUCGACGUCGUCCAAGCCGAAGAGAGCAGGUGGCCUCCGGGGCCUCAGGCCGCAGCUGCUGAGCCUGCCGGCCCGGCCGUCCAAGAAGCCACGCGUUGGCGGCCACGCCGGACCAGCCGGGCCCAUGAUCGUGUACGAGCGCACGCCGAGGGUCGUCCACGCCGACCCACACGAGUUCAUGGCCGUCGUGCAGAGGCUCACGGGCAAUUGCAAGAAGCGACCGUCGAUGGAGGCGACGUCUUUGGUUCUCACGCUUAGCCAGCAGCAGCGUGCACCGUGUGGUCAUGAUGAUCAUCCGGAACCUUCUGCUUCCCCGUCUGCUGCAUGGUCGCUGCUGUCCCCGAGCAGCUUCUUCUUCUCCCCGACCACCAUGCAGGCGAUACGGGAGCUCAUCAGCUGA